This 674-nucleotide long non-coding RNA is filed under the name Homo sapiens (human). RNAcentral's name for it is "MIR3171 host gene, transcript variant 2 (MIR3171HG)". Lineage: Eukaryota; Metazoa; Chordata; Mammalia; Primates; Hominidae. The record is from RNAcentral.
ACGAUGCACGCACCCACUGACCUGCGCCCACUGUCUGGCACUCCCUAGUGAGAUGAACCUGGUACCUCAGAUGGAAAUGCAGAAAUCACCCGUCUUCUGCGUUGCUCACGCUGGGAGCUGUAGACCAGAGCUGUUCCUAUUCGGCCUUCUUGGCUCCUUCCCUGGGCUCUUUUAUAUUGCUGGCAAAAUAGUGACUCCCCGUGGAACAGAGUUGUUGUUCAGCAGAAAUAAUCAAGAGUUGACAUCAUACCAGGUAAAAAAUAGAAGCGGUAAUUUUGAAGGUGCUGUCAGAAGAGUUAUUGAAGUGGUCAUGAACUCUAAAGUUACAGAGGCAAUUAUGUAAAGAUAAAAGAUAAAGACCUCGGGACUCAACAAUAAACCAGACCAGUAUGGCUCUAUCUUCAUGAAGAACAUACACAAUAAUUCAGGACUCACAGAAGUCGAUGAGCAGAACACAGAAGACUCAACCUGAAGAAAUUCCAUAUACGUGCUACUCCUGUGUUAGUGUUUUAAAUAAUUUAUAUAAAAGGGCAGAAACCUAGAAAUUCAUAUCAGAAUCUAUCUAUAUAUCACCUGUAGUUUUUAAAUAUAAUCAUGGGUAUGUUUUAUGUGUAUAUUAUUAUUUUGUAUUAUAGUUUUAGCCAUCAAACUUUUAAAGAAUUUAACUUACAAUU